AAGAAUUCCAUUCCUCACAAUUCGCUGCCAAACAACCCAGAAUCACGUUACCAAAAGGACCAGAAUUGGUAUGGAAUAGUUCAAACAACUACCCUUAAUUCGAACAGAACUCACUACCUUCACUUACCAGACACACGAAGAGUUCAAAAAUCGUAUCACCACAAUUUUGGAAGAACAAUUUUGACAGAACAAGGAAAAAGAAAAGAACUUUUGUUGGGAAAAAAAACAAAGAAAAAAAAGUCAGAAACUGGAAAAAGGAAGAUAUUGUGGGAAAAAAACAAUUAAAAAAUAAAAAGUUUAAACCAAAUCCCACUACAUCCACAUCCAUAACCACCCAACUAACUCAGAAUCCCAC
This 355-nucleotide long non-coding RNA is filed under the name Gossypium raimondii (Peruvian cotton). RNAcentral describes it as "long non-coding RNA (GRAI_LNC007374)". The record is from RNAcentral. Lineage: Eukaryota; Viridiplantae; Streptophyta; Magnoliopsida; Malvales; Malvaceae.